Molecule: ribosomal RNA, 469 nt
Filed under: uncultured bacterium
Lineage: Bacteria
Description: partial 16S ribosomal RNA
Rfam family: Bacterial small subunit ribosomal RNA
Source: RNAcentral
GACGAACGCUGGCGGCGUGCUUAACACAUGCAAGUCGAACGGAAAGGCCCUGCUUUUGUUGGUUUCUUGUUUGGCGAACGGGUGAGUAUCACGUGUGUAACCUGUCCUUGUCUUUCUGAUAUCUUCACGGAACUGCGGCUCUUAUCGGAUAUGAUCUCCUGCUGCAUGGUGUUGGUUGGUAAGUUUCGGCGGUUCUGUCAGUACUCGCUGCGUAUCCGCUUGUUUAUCUGGUAGUGGCUUUCCAAGCCUUUGACGGGUAGCAGGCCUGAGAGGGUGACCGGCCACAUUGGGACUGAGAUACGGCAGAGACUCCGACGGGAGGGAGCAGUGGGGAAGAUUGCACAAUGGGUGGAAGCCGGAUGCAGCAACGCCGUGUGCGGGAUGACGGCCUUAGGGUUGUAAACCGCAUUCGCUAAUGACGAAGCUUUGUGUGACGGUAGUGGGUAAAGAAGCACCGGCUAACUACGUG